Molecule: non-coding RNA, 474 nt
Organism: Punica granatum (pomegranate)
Lineage: Eukaryota; Viridiplantae; Streptophyta; Magnoliopsida; Myrtales; Lythraceae
Source: RefSeq, a predicted model, not a curated record
CUGGGGUAAGGCGGUCCCUAUAAGAUCUAUAAAAAGAAGGCUAUGAAUGCACUCCGACCCACAGAACAGUUCGAGAGACCUCCGAACAAGCCAAUCAGCUAAACGUUGCCUUCUCAAUGUGUAUGGACCACAUGGACCGUCCAAUAUGACCUGUGGAGUGCACUUACAGGGUGAACCACGAAGAAAUGUGAGGAUAUAUGCUUGUUAACAAUUGUCAGCAAAGCCAAAGAGUCAUCUUCCAUCCGCAUCGCUGAAGAGCUCUCCGCACCCCAACAUUGAAUUUAGGCUAAGGAGGAGUCCCAUGUAGUGUGAAGGUGCCUUGUAGCCCGCCCCGCCCCGCCCCCCCCCCCCCCCCCCCCCCCCCCCCCCCCUUUUCUCCCUUGCAAAGUUCAUAAACUUUUAACAGCAUCAAUUUAGAAAAGAUAUCAUGGGUUUUGGCUCCGUAUUGCACCAAAAAAAAAAAAAAAGAAGGAA